This 379-nucleotide unclassified non-coding RNA is filed under the name Hevea brasiliensis (rubber tree). The record is from RNAcentral. Lineage: Eukaryota; Viridiplantae; Streptophyta; Magnoliopsida; Malpighiales; Euphorbiaceae.
GCCAAACAUCGACAUACCCAAAUCCUACUGUUUCUAAUAGAUUCAACCAAACGGCCAAACACAGCCAGAAAAUCCUGCCACCACCUCUCUGCCCUCAAUUAUUCUCACAAGCCACUACAUUCCUCGCGACAAAGUCACCACAAGAAGAGAACAAUUGUGCAAGUUUACCUGUACAUGUCCGGGCGCUUGGGCUUAUUCUGGACAACCGAUUCGAUCUUCUCGAGCACCUGGGGAGUUAGCAGGGGAAUGACAUCGAUAGCCUUCAUGUUCUCUGUUAUCUGACUCUCCUUUGUUGCACCAGUAAUCACUGAGGAGACGUUGGGAUUUGAUGCGCACCAAGCGAUGGCAAGUUGAGAUAAGGGAACUCCCAGCUCCUCUG